RNAcentral lists this unclassified non-coding RNA (201 nucleotides) under Hevea brasiliensis (rubber tree). Lineage: Eukaryota; Viridiplantae; Streptophyta; Magnoliopsida; Malpighiales; Euphorbiaceae. The record is from RNAcentral.
AGGGUUCAGUGGCGGCAUAGGGGGGAGGGCCGUCCGCAUCUUGGGGGACGAAGAGUAAGCAGCGGCGGUGAUGAGGCGGCGGGGAGGGGUGGCGUGGAACGACGGGAUCCCGCAGGGAAUCGCCAUUGAUCGCUUGCCGCAGUGGUGAAGGCUGGGGAUGGGGCUGCAACGGAAGGAGCGAGCGGCUCAGGCUGCGGGCGA